UGGACCUAACUGGCAUUCUCCUUCAG
RNAcentral lists this non-coding RNA (26 nucleotides) under Cricetulus griseus (Chinese hamster). Lineage: Eukaryota; Metazoa; Chordata; Mammalia; Rodentia; Cricetidae. The record is from RNAcentral.